Molecule: ribosomal RNA, 771 nt
Filed under: uncultured Porphyromonadaceae bacterium
Lineage: Bacteria; Pseudomonadati; Bacteroidota; Bacteroidia; Bacteroidales; Porphyromonadaceae
Description: bacterial SSU rRNA
Rfam family: Bacterial small subunit ribosomal RNA
Source: RNAcentral
CAGCAUGGUCUUAGCUUGCUAAGACUGAUGGCGACCGGCGCACGGGUGCGUAACGCGUAUGCAACUUGCCUCACAGAGGGGGAUAACCCGUCGAAAGACGGACUAAUACCGCGUACACUCCAUCUUGGGCAUCCAAGGAGGAGGAAAUGAAUUUCGCUGUGAGAUAGGCAUGCGUCCCAUUAGCUUGUUGGUGAGGUAACGGCUCACCAAGGCGACGAUGGGUAGGGGAACUGAGAGGUUGAACCCCCACACUGGUACUGAGACACGGACCAGACUCCUACGGGAGGCAGCAGUGAGGAAUAUUGGUCAAUGGGCGAGAGCCUGAACCAGCCAAGUCGCGUGAAGGAUGACUGUCUUAUGGAUUGUAAACUUCUUUUAUACGGGAAUAACAAGAGUCACGUGUGGCUCCCUGCAUGUACCGUAUGAAUAAGCAUCGGCUAACUCCGUGCCAGCAGCCGCGGUAAUACGGAGGAUGCGAGCGUUAUCCGGAUUUAUUGGGUUUAAAGGGUGCGUAGGCGGCCUGUUAAGUCAGCGGUGAAAUCUAGGAGCUUAACUCCUAAAUUGCCAUUGAAACUGGCGGGCUUGAGUGUAGAUGAGGUAGGCGGAAUGCGUGGUGUAGCGGUGGAAUGCAUAGAUAUCACGCAGAACUCCAAUUGCGAAGGCAGCUUACUAAGGUACAACUGACGCUGAAGCACGAAAGCGUGGGUAUCAAACAGGAUUAGAUACCCUGGUAGUCCACGCAGUAAACGAUGAUAACUGGGCGUAUGCGAU